AACUGAAGUUUUGUGUGUCAAUUUUCAGUGUGAAAAAACAGUUGAUGUGAAGAAAAGUAAAUUCUGUGAAGCUGAUGUCUCCAGUGACCUUCGAAAAGAAGUAGAAAAUCAUUAUACGCUCUCUUUACCUGAAGAUUUCUAUCACUUCUGGAAGUUCUGUGAAGAACUUGAUUCUGAAAAACCAGCUGGGAUUCUCCUGAUGAACUUCCUGUAUAUGUUGGUAUAAAUGAAGCAAAGAAAAAUUGUAUAAUUGUUCCAAAUGGAGAUAAUGUAUUUGCUGCAGUCAACUGACCUCAAGAGAAUUUGCAAGACAAUAGUUGAGGCUGCAAGUGAUGAUGAGAGACGAAAAGCUUUUGCUCCCAUUCAGGAAAUGAUGACUUUUGUGCAGUUUGCUAAUGAUGAAUGUGAUUAUGGUAUGGGGCUUGAGUUGGGAAUGGA
Molecule: long non-coding RNA, 438 nt
Filed under: Homo sapiens (human)
Lineage: Eukaryota; Metazoa; Chordata; Mammalia; Primates; Hominidae
Description: non-protein coding lnc-SNAPC3-7:2
Source: RNAcentral